UGGGGAAUAUUGCACAAUGGGCGCAAGCCUGAUGCAGCCAUGCCGCGUGUAUGAAGAAGGCCUUCGGGUUGUAAAGUACUUUCAGCGGGGAGGAAGGUGUUGAGGUUAAUAACCUCAGCAAUUGACGUUACCCGCAGAAGAAGCACCGGCUAAAUCCGUGCCAGCAGCCGCGGUAAUACGGAGGGUGCAAGCGUUAAUCGGAAUUACUGGGCGUAAAGCGCACGCAGGCGGUCUGUCAAGUCGGAUGUGAAAUCCCCGGGCUCAACCUGGGAACUGCAUUCGAAACUGGCAGGCUAGAGUCUUGUAGAGGGGGGUAGAAUUCCAGGUGUAGCGGUGAAAUGCGUAGAGAUCUGGAGGAAUACCGGUGGCGAAGGCGGCCCCCUGGACAAAGACUGACGCUCAGGUGCGAAAGCGUGGGGAGCAAACA
RNAcentral lists this ribosomal RNA (427 nucleotides) under uncultured bacterium. Its description in RNAcentral is "partial 16S ribosomal RNA". It matches the Rfam family "Bacterial small subunit ribosomal RNA", at positions 355 to 774 of the family's 1533-position model. The record is from RNAcentral.